CUCUCCCCCGACGCCUCUCCUCGUCCUCCACUCCCCACGUUUCCCCCAACCAACCCCGCCGCCACCGCCGACGCCGACGACCUCCUCUCCCCCAACCCCACCGCCGGCGCCCCCCACCUCACGCGUGGAUCCUCCUCCUUGUUGUGCCCUUGUGCCGACCCCAAACCCUAGCUAGGGGCCCCCUUCUCCGGGCGCAGCGCGGCGCAGGGAGGGCUCCCUCUUGCCCGCCGCCGAUGCAGAUGGCCCGCUGGAGGUCCUGCUACUUGCUCCUCCGACCCUCCUCCUGCUGCUGCUAGUGCAGACCGACGCCAUGGAGGCCGUGUGCAGGCGGGGAAGGACAGCGUGGCACGCCUGGUGCGUGAGCUCGAGGGCGUCGGCCUGCUCGUCGAGCGCGUCCGCGGCGUCCCCGCUGAGUUCAUCAAGAACUAUGAGGGGCUUAAGCAGGAGCAUGAUAAGAAGGUGGGGCUGCUGACGAAGCAGGAGGUGAGGGGUGUGGACUACCUCAAGAUGGAGAAGAACGGGAUGGAGAUGGAGAGCCUCGAGUCCAAGAUGCUGGUGGCCACCCAGUCCACCGACACCACCACCUCCGAGAUCAUCAGGCUCAGAGAAUCAGAGCUAUUCCCACAGCUACUUGAGCUGGUUGCUGGAGGUGAUCGACGCUGACUAGCACGGCCCGGUGGCGCUGUGCUCUUCAACCACUCGGAGACGGACUUCGCCGUGGAGCCUGGUUGCCAUGUCGCACAGAUGAUCGUCCAGGUGAUUUCGACGUCGGAGGUCGCCGAGGUGUGGAGGACCUUGACGCCACCGUCCGGGGGAGGGAGGAUUCGAGUCCACCGACGUCUGAACUCCGAGCCUAGGUAGAUACAUCUAGAGAAGUGGUCUGUUUAGGUUGGUGGUAGACCACUAGGGAAGGUACCCACCUUACGAUGAUGGUUGUGUGUGUCUGAUGUUAAAUCGAAUCUUGAGAUGGUUUUGUGACAUGUUAAAUGGAAUAUUGAGAUGGUUCAGUGACA
Long non-coding RNA from Triticum dicoccoides, 1013 nucleotides. RefSeq lists it as uncharacterized. The record is from RefSeq and is a predicted model, not a curated record. Lineage: Eukaryota; Viridiplantae; Streptophyta; Magnoliopsida; Poales; Poaceae. The transcript has 4 exons.